GAACAGGGCGUCCCAGAGGGUGAGAAUCCCGUAGGUGAUUAAUCUUCGUUUCCAUGUGAAGCCCUUUCGACGAGUCGAGUUGUUUGGGAAUGCAGCUCUAAAUGGGUGGUAAAUUUCAUCUAAAGCUAAAUACCUGCCAGAGACCGAUAGCGCACAAGUAGAGUGAUCGAAAGAUGAAAAGCACUUUGAAAAGAGAGUCAAACAGUACGUGAAAUUGUUGAAAGG
Molecule: ribosomal RNA, 225 nt
Filed under: Graphis scripta
Lineage: Eukaryota; Fungi; Ascomycota; Lecanoromycetes; Ostropales; Graphidaceae
Description: partial large subunit ribosomal RNA
Rfam family: Eukaryotic large subunit ribosomal RNA
Source: RNAcentral